AGUGAACGCUGGCGGUAGGCCUAACACAUGCAAGUCGAACGGCAGCACAGUAAGAGCUUGCGCUUACGGGUGGCGAGUGGCGGACGGGUGAGGAAUACAUCGGAAUCUACUUUUUCGUGGGGGAUAACGUAGGGAAACUUACGCUAAUACCGCAUCCGACCUACGGGUGAAAGCAGGGGAUCUUCGGACCUUGCGCGAUUGAAUGAGCCGAUGUCGGAUUAGCUAGUUGGCGGGGUAAAGGCCCACCAAGGCGACGAUCCGUAGCUGGUCUGAGAGGAUGAGCAGCCACACUGGCACUGAGACACGGACCAGACUCCUACAGUAGGCAGCAGUGGGGAAUAUUGGACAAUGGGCGCAAGCCUGAUCCAGCCAUACCGCGUGGGUGAAGAAGGCCUUCGGGUUGUAGAGCCCUUUUGUUGGGAAAGAAAAGCAGCAGGUUAAUACCCCGCUGUUCUGACGGUACCCAAAGAAUAAGCACCGGCUAACUUCGUG
Molecule: ribosomal RNA, 492 nt
Filed under: uncultured bacterium
Lineage: Bacteria
Description: partial 16S ribosomal RNA
Rfam family: Bacterial small subunit ribosomal RNA
Source: RNAcentral